GCCCCGGUAGCUCAGUGGUCGGAGCGGCAGCCUCGUAAGUUGUUGGUCGCGGGUUCAAAUCCCGCCCGGGGCU
RNAcentral lists this transfer RNA (73 nucleotides) under Candidatus Bathyarchaeota archaeon. RNAcentral's name for it is "tRNA-Thr". It matches the Rfam family "tRNA". Rfam says of the family: Transfer RNA (tRNA) molecules are approximately 80 nucleotides in length. Their secondary structure includes four short double-helical elements and three loops (D, anti-codon, and T loops). The record is from RNAcentral. Lineage: Archaea; Thermoproteati; Candidatus Bathyarchaeota.